GGCAACCCUGACGGAGCAACGCCGCGUGUGGGAGGACGGCCUUCGGGUUGUAAACCUCUUUUCUCAGGGAAGAAGCUCUGACGGUACCUGAGGAAUCAGCAUCGGCUAACUCCGUGCCAGCAGCCGCGGUAAGACGGAGGAUGCAAGCGUUAUCCGGAAUUAUUGGGCGUAAAGCGUCCGCAGGUGGCGAUUCAAGUCUGCUGUCAAAGCACGGGGCUUAACUCCGUUAAGGCAGUGGAAACUGAAUGGCUAGAGUGCCGUAGGGGUAGAGGGAAUUCCCGGUGUAGCGGUGAAAUGCGUAGAGAUUGGGAAGAACACCGGUGGCGAAAGCGCUCUACUGGACCACACCUGACACUCAGAGGACGAAAGCUAGGGGAGCG
Molecule: ribosomal RNA, 380 nt
Filed under: uncultured cyanobacterium
Lineage: Bacteria; Bacillati; Cyanobacteriota
Description: bacterial SSU rRNA
Rfam family: Bacterial small subunit ribosomal RNA
Source: RNAcentral